RNAcentral lists this transfer RNA (64 nucleotides) under Tricentrus sp. EMHAU-15041605. RNAcentral describes it as "tRNA-Glu". Lineage: Eukaryota; Metazoa; Arthropoda; Insecta; Hemiptera; Membracidae. The record is from RNAcentral.
AUUUAUUUAGUUUAAAAAAAACAUUUUAUUUUCAUUAAAAAAAUAAGUUAUUAAUUAAUAAAUU